GACGAACGCUGGCGGCGUGCUUAACACAUGCAAGUCGAACGGAAAGGCCUGCUUUCCCUUGUGGAUUGCGGGUACUCGAGUGGCGAACGGGUGAGUAACACGUGAGUGAUCUGCCCCCAACUUGGGUAUAAGCCUGGGAAACUGGGUCUAAUUCCCGAUAGGACUGCAGGGUGGUGCCUGUGGUGGAAAACGAUUUUCUAGUGGUUGGGGAUGAGCUCGCGGCCUAUCAGCUUGUUGGUGGGGUAAUGGCCUACCAAGGCGGCGACGGGUAGCCGGCGUGAGAGGGUGGACGGCCACAUUGGGACUGAGAUACGGCCCAGACUCCUGCGGGAGGCAGCAGGGGGGAAUAUUGCACAAUGGGCGGGAGCCUGAUGCCGCGACGCCGCGUGGGGGGUGACGGCCUUCGGGUUGUAAACUCCUUUCGACCGCGAGGAAGCCACCUGGUUGGAAGGGUGGUGACGGUAGUGGUAGAAGAAGCACCGGCUAACUACGUG
Molecule: ribosomal RNA, 494 nt
Filed under: uncultured bacterium
Lineage: Bacteria
Description: partial 16S ribosomal RNA
Rfam family: Bacterial small subunit ribosomal RNA
Source: RNAcentral